RNAcentral lists this ribosomal RNA (440 nucleotides) under uncultured Oomycota. RNAcentral describes it as "LSU rRNA". It matches the Rfam family "Eukaryotic large subunit ribosomal RNA", at positions 165 to 598 of the family's 3401-position model. The record is from RNAcentral. Lineage: Eukaryota; Oomycota.
AGCAUAGCGAUUUGGGAUAAGUCCCUUGGAAGAGGGCAGCAUGGAGGGUGAUACUCCCGUCUCUGCUCAGGUUGUCUGUGUGUACGAUACGCUUUCUUUGAGUCGAGUUGUUUGGGAAUACAGCUCAAAGUAGGUGGUAAAUUCCAUCUAAAGCUAAAUAUUGGUGCGAGACCGAUAGCGAACAAGUACCGUGAGGGAAAGAUGAAAAGAACUUUGAAAAGAGAGUUAAAGAGUACCUGAAACUGUUGAAAGGGAACCGUAUCGUUUCUAGUGUUUAUCCUAUGCAUAUUUCAUUGGCGGUUGCAAAAUUGCUGGUGCCCUGUGCAUGGGUGUGACGUCAGAGUCAGUUUAAAUUGCGGGAGAUGGGUAGGGAGGAGGUGCGUCGCUUCGGUGAAAGUUACAGCUCCCUGCUUAGUAGCCGUGGUUGAGACUGAGGUGCC